UUUUUUUUUUUCUGUUAGAUAUUGGGUAUGAAUUUUUGAAUACUAGAAUAUAUGCCUAAAUCCCGAAACGUGUAUUGACCUGGAAAUGGAGUUGAGACCUGCCUGGACAUCUGUUCACCAAGGUUAGGUGGUCCGAAUACAACGAAUAAUUCUUGAGGUCUAAGUGGCACACUAUGCAGGGAAAGUACACGAGUAUUUUAUAUUAAAUGUAAUCCUGCCAUACUUCUGAUGAUUCCCACCUCCUGGUAUUCAUGCUUUUGUAUAAUCCCUUGAGGAUGGGCAGCCUGUGACUUCCUUCUACCCAACAGAUUAUGACAAAGGUGAUGGGAUGUCACAACUGUGAUUAUGACAUUAUAUAAGAUUCUAUUUUAGCAGACUGCAAUGAGAUUCCUUGUGGGCAUGAAGUAAGCAGCCAUAUUAAAGAACCCCAUGUGGGAAAUAACCUCAGUUAUCCCCCAGGAUCUGGAGACAGCUGCCAGCUGAUAGUAAAUAUCCAGGGCUCUUAAUAGUAUAAUUUCCAGAAAGUGAAUCCUGAAGAUUCCCCAGUCAAGACUCCAGAUAGCUCCAGCAAGCAUUUUGAUUGCAGCUUUGUGAGACUCUGAAAAGGAGGGCCCAACUAACCCAUGCCUGACUCCUGGUCCACAGAAACUGAGAUAAUAAAUGUAUGUUUUACUUGAGACACAAAAUUUGUGAUAAUUUUUUAGGCAGCAAUAGGAAAACGAACAAUGCAAUAUAUGCAUUCCUGGAAAACUUCACAGUUGGUAAAUUAAUGCAUAAAAUAUAAAAGGGUUUGUGGAGGGAAUACGGUUGUGACAGACCACUUAAAAAAUCAUGCAACAGGGAUGCCUGGAUGGCUCAGUAGUUGAGGGUCUACCUUCGGCCCAGGUCAUGAUCCUAGAGUUCUGGGAUCGAGUCCCACAUCAGGCUCUCUGUGAGGAGCCCGCUUCUCCCUCUUCCUAUGUCUCUGCCUCUGUGUGUCUUUCAUGAAUAAAUAAAUAAAAUUUUUAAAAAUCAUGCAAUAGAUAAUGCAGAGUACAAACAAAAACUAACAAAGUCCUGAGAAAUUUUAAAAGAUGGGGUAAAUCACUAACAAAAUUACAUUAGAUAUAUGAUUUCACCAAGAAGGGUUAAAGGUAACUUGAUGGAAGGUAGUAGAAGGGUUAGGACUGCUGAGUUAUGUGGACAAAGGUAAAAUGCACACAGAUCUGUGAGAAUGGACUGAUAAGCACUUCCAAGCAGAGCAGGUUGUCUAAGCUAUGAGGAAGAGCAAGGUAGGGGAUGGACAUCAUGUACAGUGUAUUAGUUUUGUAGGGCUGCCAUAAAAACGUGCCACAAACAGGGAGGCUUAAACAACAAGAUUUUAUUGUCUCUGAGUUCUGAAGGCUAGAAGUCCAAAAUCAAGAUGUGGCCAGGGUUGGUUCUUUCUGAGGACUCUGUGGGAUCUGUUCCAGGCCUCUUCUGGCUGUCUUUUCCCAGUGUCUCUUUAUAUCAUCUUCCCUCUAUGUGUGUCUCUGUGCCCAAAUUUCCCCCUUUCAUAAGGACAUCAGUCAUAUUGGAUCACGGUCCACUCUAAUGACCUUACUUUAUUGCCUCUGUAAGUGCUCUGUCUGCAAAUAAGCUUCACAUCGUAAGCUACCAGGGGUUAAGACUCCCAACAUAUAUUUUGGUGGGGGGGUACAAUUCAACCCAUCAUAUAGAAUAAUGGACCCCUUUGUGGUUUGCUGGAUUCACUGCUGUGCAACCUUUGUGGUUUGCUGGAUUCACUGCUGUGCAUUCAGCUGCUGUUAUAUGGUACAGAAGUUUCAUUGCUGAUGGGGAAAAAAAAGAGCAAAAGCCAAAUCAACUUCCCCAUCAUACCAAUUAUUACUAAUCCCUAAUACAGAAACCUACCCUUUCACAGAACAGUCUAGAAAGCAUCUAACCUCUUCACUCUCACAUUAUAUAUAUGUGUGUGUGUGUGUGUAUGCAUAAAAUGAUGUUGACUGCUCACCACACUUAAUUAAAUAACUUGCCCAAGGUCACGCAGCUAGUAAAAAAAAAAAAAAAAAAA
This 2050-nucleotide long non-coding RNA is filed under the name Canis lupus familiaris (dog). RNAcentral describes it as "lncRNA (ENSCAFG00845019692.1)". The record is from RNAcentral. Lineage: Eukaryota; Metazoa; Chordata; Mammalia; Carnivora; Canidae.